RNAcentral lists this unclassified non-coding RNA (2921 nucleotides) under Ceratitis capitata (Mediterranean fruit fly). Its description in RNAcentral is "rNA-binding protein 1, transcript variant X3". The record is from RNAcentral. Lineage: Eukaryota; Metazoa; Arthropoda; Insecta; Diptera; Tephritidae.
ACGUUAUACUUAUUUUGCGCUUCUGACGAGUAGACGAGUAGACGUGUGCAGAUUUACCUUUGUGCGUAUUAAAAAUUUUAUAUUUUACACACAAUUGUUAAUAAUAAAAAUAAAUUAUUAAAAAAGUGAAUUGAAAUUCUUUAAGAGCUUUCGUUUGCUACUAUUAUAUAAAUAAAGAAAAUGCCACGCUAUCGUGAAUGGGACUUAGCUUGCAAAGUCUACGUUGGAAAUUUAGGAUCCUCUGCUUCAAAAUAUGAAAUAGAAAACGCCUUCAGUAAAUAUGGACCCCUAAGAAAUGUUUGGGUUGCUCGAAACCCACCAGGAUUCGCGUUUGUUGAAUUUGAAGAUCGUCGCGAUGCAGAGGAUGCAACACGAGGCUUAGACGGAACACGAUGCUGUGGUACUCGGAUUCGUGUUGAAAUGUCUUCGGGGCGGUCACGACGAGAUGACAGACGCCGUGGUGGCGGCAGCGGUGGUGGUGGUGGUGGUGGUGGAAGCAGCAGCGGCGGCCGAGGUGGUGGUCGCUAUAGGAUAAAGUCUACUGCUACUACUACUUCUACUAGAUCUUCUACCUCCUCUUCCUUCAACAAAAACUACAAAAACAACAUCUUCACGAAUCACAACUACUGCUCCUUCUCCACAAACUUCACCACGACCAGCAACAAGCUCAACUUAAUAUCGUUCAACAACAACAUUUUUGAUUGUAGAGAAAAGAAUGUUAUACAACAAUUUUUUAACAGAGAAAAUCAACAAAAUUUCGACAACAACAAUUUUAGUAAUAGCUACCAUCAUUAUUUUCAACAUCACCAAAAACAACUACAAGAAAAGCCUCAACACAGUACUUCCAUCAAUAAAUUUAAAAUCAUAGUUUUUAUUAUCAACACCAACACCUUGAACACCAAAGACACCAUCGUCACAACAGUCUUGCACAUAAAAUUUGCUCUCGUUUUCGCUGUAGUCAUUGUCAUCAACACCUAUCUAACAAUUGUUGUUGUCGUAAUAGAAAACAGUCACAGUUGUCCUGAUGUUAAGUGCAGUAAAAGAUCAGCAAUCAUUAGAACAGCAACUACUACUACUAGUCAAAUAACUACUACUAUUACUACUGCUACUACUACUACUACUGCUACCUCAACUGCAACUGCUUCUACAGUCACUGCAACUAUUGCCACUACAAGAAUUAGUGCAACUAGUAAAAGUGUGCUUGGGCAGCAGGCGCAGGAACAGCAUCAAAGGCCAAAGUUAAAGCAUUUACAACAGCCAUCAUCAUUAAUACCACUUCUACCACCACAACCACCUUAACAACUUAAAUAUAUACUACCACAUCCUUCUCCUCUGUUUAUGCAACAAUUGACUGUGUGAAAGUGUCCACAACACAACUACCUUCAGCACAACAAAUACCACCACUACCAACAACAAAUAAUAACAUCGACAUUGACAAAAGAAUUGCAUACUCAUGUAAAAUAUAACUGUACAGUAUGCUUGAUCGGGUAAUGUAUGUAUGUUUGGACAACCUCAAAAUGAACCUAAGGUUGCUCACACGAAAUAGGUGCCUACAAAGUAAUUAUAUCGAAUUACUUGAUUUUUUCAUCUAUUUAACGAGCUCUACAACGCAUUCACUUUUUGACCGAAAUUAAUAACAACAACUAUCAUUGAAAACUAACAUUUGAAACGACAACAAUCAACAAGUGAUAUUACAAAUGUUUUUAAAGGUUGCUGAGUUAUUAGACAGACUUACGGACAUGACGAGCUUUGACUUUAUUUCAACAUGAAUUUAUAUCGGAAAAAUGUUCGGAAUUUCGAAGGUUUGCAAGUUGCUGUCUUCAAUCGGCGUCAUUCCAACAGUUCUUCAACAACUUCAACUUCACUCUUGCUCUUUCUGCAGUCGUUUCAACUGCAAAAUUACAUUUCUGCAACAAAUGUCCGGGCAAUGUUUCAACAAAGCAAUCUUAAUUGAAUCCACUCAACUCAACUAAGUGCAAAAAACAGCGAGGCGGAAAUCAAAAAAUAUUGAAAAUCAUAUUCCACUCUAAAAACGGGGAAGGGUAGGUGUUACCAUGAUCAUCGUUUUUGGCAUGCAAAUGUGCACAACGGCAUUUUUGAGUGCAUCAAGAACGAAAGUAAAACAUUUCCGGCCACUUCAAGUGAAAGCAAAGUCACAUCAGCUCAAUUAUCACCACUCACAUCUGCAGCAGUUUCUACAAAAGGGGUGGAAAUGAAAAUGUGACGUGUUAAAUCCUCUGCUCUACAAGUAUAAAUCAACCCUUUAAUUCGCUCACACCCCAUUACAUCCAUAUUGGUUUGAAGGCAGUCAUGUGCAAUUGUAAAUUUUAUCGGCUGGUUAAUAAUGUCGAGUUUGUGUACAUCAUCUGGCUGCAACAGCAAAUAUCGGCAUAAUUACUAUGUGUCUAUGUGUCUACAAGAACGCCAACUGAAUAACCGCACUCACCACUACUUUGAAAACGAGGACAACAACAAGCUUAUGUGAAAAACAUCACUACCUCUGCGCUUCAAAACCAACUAUCAAUCCAAAACUGGCUUUUGUCUACUUAUGUCAUCCCCAUAAUGUCCGAUAUGCGCAACGAUCGCUACUAAGUAUCACUGUCAUAUGAGUGAGCCAAGCUUCUAGUAUAUGUACAUAUAUGAUUAUCCUCUCAUUAGUCGAUUUUUACAUAUAACGUAAUAUUUUUGGUUUAUUUAGAGUAGUCAUCAUAAGCCAGUUGAAAUUCAACAAAAGAAACUUCCAUUAUCACCUAAUCAUCACCAUCACUACUACUACUACUACUUCUACAAAAACACCUCAACAACUGAGAUCAAGUUUUUCUGCGUAGGAAAUAAAAAAAAAACGGUUAAAUUUUUUUCAUAGCAUAGCAAGUUUAUCAGCUGGCUACAAAAUCAGCUAAUGUGGUUCAACAAUCCGACAA